Molecule: ribosomal RNA, 519 nt
Filed under: uncultured Pseudomonadota bacterium
Lineage: Bacteria; Pseudomonadati; Pseudomonadota
Description: bacterial SSU rRNA
Rfam family: Bacterial small subunit ribosomal RNA
Source: RNAcentral
AGAGUUUGAUCAUGGCUCAGAUUGAACGCUGGCGGCAUGCCUUACACAUGCAAGUCGAACGGCAGCACGGGGGCAACCCUGGUGGCGAGUGGCGAACGGGUGAGUAAUACAUCGGAACGUGUCCUGUAGUGGGGGAUAGCCCGGCGAAAGCCGGAUUAAUACCGCAUACGAUCUACGGAAGAAAGCGGGGGAUCUUCGGACCUCGCGCUAUAGGGGCGGCCGAUGGCAGAUUAGCUAGUUGGUGGGGUAAAGGCCUACCAAGGCGACGAUCUGUAGCUGGUCUGAGAGGACGACCAGCCACACUGGGACUGAGACACGGCCCAGACUCCUACGGGAGGCAGCAGUGGGGAAUUUUGGACAAUGGGGGAAACCCUGAUCCAGCAAUGCCGCGUGUGUGAAGAAGGCCUUCGGGUUGUAAAGCACUUUUGUCCGGAAAGAAAACUUCGGGGCUAAUACCUCUGGAUGAUGACGGUACCGGAAGAAUAAGCACCGGCUAACUACGUGCCAGCAGCCGCGGUU